Equus asinus (donkey) is the source of this 5068-nucleotide long non-coding RNA. Lineage: Eukaryota; Metazoa; Chordata; Mammalia; Perissodactyla; Equidae. The record is from Ensembl.
AUUUCCAGUUCCCUCUGUUGUAUUCAGAGUUGAGUUCACUCUCUGUCCCCUAUUACAAGUCUUGACCUCUAUUGCAAUAGUCUUGAGUAAAGUUUUCCUUGCCUGUUUAACUAUGUCUGGUGCACGUUUUGACAGCUUCCGUCAUGAGAAGAAGCCUGGACUAGCCUGCUGAGGAUGAGAGACCGACCACAUAGAGCAGGACAUCUGAAAAGCAACCGACCAGAGAUAUGCAGUUUCUUUAAAACCCUCCCGCCUUCCUUUGAUCCCCUGGAAGAGGUGGACUUCGUGACCUUGGCCUUGGGGUAUGGAUGUCCCUGUCCCCAUCAAAUCUCCAAACAAAACAGAACAAAUUCCCCUUCCUGACCAAGUUCUCGAACAGAGGCUGUGAGGACACCCCCACCCUGCAUUUUCCUUUCUGCCUUUUGAGUCCAGCUGUUCUGGCUACGCAUUCCGCACUACCAGCUUGCUCCAGCUCCCAUUGGAUGGGGACGCCCUGAGGUCACCAUGGGCCUCAGGUCUGUCUCAUCAACCCCUAGAGGACGGGGGUCAUAUUCCUGGAAUAGCUCCAAGAAGCCCCACCCAGUUUUAGGUCAAAAGCUUGACAAAUAAGUAUUGUUUCAACAGCAGAGGCCCUGGCUUGAGGUAAGUUGGAAUCGGACCAGUCCUGUGGGGCCAGAACAAUCUGGUGGAGCCUGAGGUCUGCAGGCAGCCUGUUUGCACAGUUGAUGAGGUAAAGGAGAUGAUGAGGAGAAGGCACAAUAUUGCUAAGUUUCCAUUCUCUAUUGCCCUCCCGUACCCUACACACACUUACACAUACACACACACACUUGUUCACACACUCUCUCACACACUCACACGCUUGCUCUCUUACACACUCACACUCACACACCUGCCCCAGGGACUCAUGGUUUUAAGGCCGGGGGUGAGAGGGCUGCUCCAGGCAUAAGUCAAAGAAGGUUUUCAAGAGGCCCUUGGGGGCCGUGAGGUGUGGGAUCAAAGGUGAAACUGAGAGGGAGAGAGGCGUUUUUCCUCUCACUUUUUUGAUUUUCCUCUCACUUCUUUGAGCACACAGCGCUGCUCUGGCCCUUUGGCACACUGGGGAUGGCACCUUGGGGCCAGUGGGUGGGGAAGCAGUGGCCCUUGAUGGGGGGAGGGCACCUAAAAGAUGCUUCAGAGACUGUAGAUACCCAAGGGGAUGGGGGAAGUGGGUGGGGAGAAGGGGAAGUGGCAGAGAGGGGAGGACUGUGGCUUGUCGUCAGGUGUGGGACGCCCCUGGGGACUCUCGGGUUGCCUUUGAUCAACUUUGCCCCCAGCGGGAGCACCAGACAGUAAAUUCCACCCUGUCCUAAGGCAUGGAAUUUGUUUUCAUUGUGUGGCAAAGGUGAUUCUUUAUCAAGAAUUCCUUACCUCCGUUUCCUCCAUGGUCUUUCCUAGUUCACUCGGGUCAGGCAGGUCCACAACUCUCCUGGGGUGGGCACAGCCUGGGCUCAUGGCUCUGGGCUGGAGGUAAGGAACCCGCUGAGUCCCCGUUCUCCUGUCUUUAAAAUGGGAAAGGUAGUUUAAACCCCUCAUAGGUUUGUGGAAAUAAUUGCAUGGGAAAAAGUUAUAUAUAUGUGCAUGAUAUGUGUGUGCGUGUGUAUAUAUUCACCAUAUAUGUAUGUACGUAUGUCUGUGUAUGUAUAACAUAUAGACCAUAUAUGUACGUAUGGUGCCUAGCUCAGGACCCAGCACAUAAUAAGCCAUAAAUGUUACUGCUAUCCUUAGUAUCGUCCAGGAUGGCUUUCCAUAGUGGUUGGCUUUCUGCAUCAAGAGACUUCAGGAGUCCAAGUAAAGGGAAUGUGACCUAGCGGUAAAGUGACUUUAAAAUCUAUUAGCACUUACAUACCCAAGUGAGUGUGGAGCAUGCAGUCACCCCAGAAGUGCUCAUUCCUUCAUUCAGGAAGUCACAGAACAGGGCAGAUUGCAUUCUCUAGAUGUUCCUGAGCACCAAUCUCAAACGGCUCUCAGUAUUUAUGGAAAUGAUAAUUUCUCAGGCCGGUUCACUUUGCCAAUCUCCACAACUAUUCCAAACACUUUUCUCUCUCUUCAAGCCCUUUCCCCUUUUCUCUCCCAUUUAGAUGGGCUUCGCCUCUUAAAGAGAAAAUAGAUGCUGUCAGAUGAGAACUCCUUCUCCUUCCCAGUCUCAUACGUAUGAACCUGCUCGUGUUGGCACUCCUGUCCCUUCUCUUUACAAUUGAGGAGUACUUCCUCUCCAAUUUAUCGUGAAUCCUUCUACUGAUGCUUAUUUUGAUUCCAGCUCCUCCUGCCUUCUCAGGAACCUGACCACAUCUCUCUUCUGCUUAUUUGACCUUUCCCUCUCAACUGGCUUUGAGUACCCUCAAGUCUUUCCCAUUUAUCAACUACAGCAAAGCAAAACCAAAAAAUGCCAAACUUGACUUCUUUCUUGAUCCGCGUUGUCAUAAGCUGGCUCCCCACAUAUUCCCAGCACCCCUAUUGAGGAGACAAAGCCGAGCGCGUUGGGGCUCAUCGCAGCAGGUGGUGGGGAGAACAGCAAAGCUUGGUAUUCAGAGGGGGGAAGACAAGGUCAGAGUUCACCCAGAACUGGAGGUUUGGUUAGAGGUGGGUCUUUCAGUGUGGGGAUUGAGGAUGGAGUAACAAUCAUGAUACCACAGUCCAGGAUUGGCAGAGAUAGCAAAGUGAGAGAUUCAAAGAAUCUUCAGGUACAAACUGUAGAUGUUUUUCAUUGAAGAGUUGAUGGGUCUUUGGGGAAGUUUCUGUAGUAAACAAUUGCACUAUUUGCUUGGGAGGACAGUCCCAAAAGAGAAAAGAAAUGCUAAUAUAGACAGUGGGAGAGAAGCGCGUGCUACUGUGGGCAGUAAGGUGUGGUUUCACUUCUCUAUGUCCAGGCUGAGUGCGGGGGUUAGAAGGUUUUGGUUCUCAGCUUCGAGCUUCUGCCCCAGCUCCUUCCUCCCCUUCACCACUAAACAACUCAAAAUAAUUUCUCUGCUUGCUGACCUCAUUUCCUCUCCUCCUACACAUUCCUCAGCCCUCCAACCUGACUUCGGGCUCUUUCUAAAACAGUGUUCAUUAAGGUCCUCCAUGGCGUCCCUGUCUUUAAAUCCAGUUGAAACUUUUCAGGCCUCAUCUCACAUGGCCUCUCAGGGCUGUCAGUCUCUAGCUCCUUGGCAUCCAUGACUCCACACUCUCCCAGUUGUCCCACUGCCUGUAUCAUCACUUUCUCUUUCUCUUCUUUGCAGACUCAUUCUAUUCCAUCCUGUUAUUAAGUAUUAUUGUCUCACCAGACUUGGUCCUAAGACUUCUCCCCUUUCCCUUCAUACCUUCUCCUGUGGCAGUGCCAUGUAUUCUCAUAGCUUUAGCUACCACCUCUGCACAGAUACUUUAUAAAUUUAUGUCUCCAGCCCAACCUUUUUUUGGAGCUCUGGACCCACAUAUACAAAAGUCUAUAUGACGUCUCCUCUGAAUGUCUUCAAGGCAUUUCAAGUCAAGAUUUCUGUAGAAGAUAAGGCAGCGUUAGCACUGUGAGAAACAAACCCCCAAAUCUCAAGGGCUUAACACAUUUAAAGCUUAUUUCUCACUGAUCUAAGAGUGCAAAGUGCGAGUUCCUGAUCAGCUGGUUGUUUCUCUCCACAUGGUGAAUGAAAGGCCCAGGCUCCUUCCAUCUUGUGGCUCUGCCGCCUCCUAUGUCUUCAGAGUCCUCUGCAUUUAUCCAGUGGAGAGUGUAGGGGAGGAAAGAAAGACUUUCCUUCAACCACCCCUGGCUUCAAUAGCUCAGUCUAUGAAAUAAACUGACAGGCCGAUUAACAGGAGAAAAAGUAUACAAAUUUAUUAAUUUUUAAUAUUAUGUACAUGGGGAAUUACAGGAAAAAAAGUGAAUACCAAAAAAAAAAAUAUGGUGAGAAUUGAGAGCUUAUAUAUUAUUAGGGGAAGGGGAGGGGAGAUGCAGGCAACUUAGGAGAGAGUUAAUGAAUUUUAGGAAAAGAAUAGAUGUGAAGUGUGACAGUUUGGGACAGUUUGUCUGGGUGUAGAGUUGGUUUCUAGUCUUCUGUGUUAGGGUCAAUCUUCCCUGGUUGAUGAAACUCCUGGGGCCGGGGUGGGGGGGUGGGGGGGGGGUGCGGGGCAGCCUGGUUAAUGACAAUUGAGUUCCUUUUAGAGGAUCUGUCUUUAGGCAGAUAAGAGGAGUUCAGAGACAGCCUCUCCCUGCGUUUGCUAUUUUCAAGUGCCUUCAGCUCAAAAUAAUCAACAUACCAAAGCAGCAUAUUUUGGGGCUGCAUGUCCAGAAAUCCUUCAAUAGGAAAAAGGAGAGUAUAGAAGCUACACCUGGUUUUUAAAAGCUUUGGCCUGGGAGAUGACACACAUCACUUCUACUCAUGUUCCAUUGACAAAAAAACCCCCAAACAAACCAGUCUAGGGUUGAAUUGGCACUCCCCCAACCCUCCAAUAAACAGAUGUGUUUAAGUCCUAAUUGCAAGUAUCUGUGAAUGUGACCUUAUUUGGAAAUAGGAUCUUUGUAGAUGUGAUCAGGUUAAGAUGAGAUCAUAUUGGAUUAGGGUGGGCCCUAAUCACAUGAUUGGUGUCCUUAUAAGAUGAAGGAAAUUUGGGCACACAGAUACACACAGGGAGAAGAUGUCCAUGUGAAGACACAGAGAUGCAGGGAGAAUGCUAUGUGAAGACAGAGCAGAGACUAGAGUGGUCCAUCUACAAGCCAAGGAACACCAAGAAUUGCCAGCAACCACCAGAAGCUUGGAGUGAAAUGUGGAAUAAGUUCGCUCUCAGAGCCUCCAGUAGGAACUAACCUUGACUGUGGACUUCUAAUCUCCAGAACUAUGAGAGAAUAAAUUUAUGUUGUUUGAGUCACUCGGUUUGUGGUACUUUGUUACAGCAGCCACAGGAAAUUAAUACACUUGGCCCUCACCUGUCACAGAUCUGCUGGCGCCUUGAUCUUGGACUUCCCAGCCUCCCCAACUGUGAGAAAUAAAUGUUCAUUGUUUAAGCCACUCAGUCUGCGGUAUUUUUGUCAUAGCAGCCCAAGUAGACUAAGACAAGGCUG